UGUAGCUCAGUGGUAGAGCUGCCUGGCCAGAACACAGAGGCCCUGGGUUCAAAUCCCAGCA
Molecule: transfer RNA, 61 nt
Filed under: Neotoma lepida (desert woodrat)
Lineage: Eukaryota; Metazoa; Chordata; Mammalia; Rodentia; Cricetidae
Rfam family: tRNA
About the family: Transfer RNA (tRNA) molecules are approximately 80 nucleotides in length. Their secondary structure includes four short double-helical elements and three loops (D, anti-codon, and T loops). Further hydrogen bonds mediate the characteristic L-shaped molecular structure. tRNAs have two regions of fundamental functional importance: the anti-codon, which is responsible for specific mRNA codon recognition, and the 3' end, to which the tRNAs corresponding amino acid is attached (by aminoacyl-tRNA synthetases). tRNAs cope with the degeneracy of the genetic code in two manners: having more than one tRNA (with a specific anti-codon) for a particular amino acid; and 'wobble' base-pairing, i.e. permitting non-standard base-pairing at the 3rd anti-codon position.
Source: Rfam by way of RNAcentral